Molecule: ribosomal RNA, 921 nt
Filed under: Triticum aestivum (bread wheat)
Lineage: Eukaryota; Viridiplantae; Streptophyta; Magnoliopsida; Poales; Poaceae
Description: partial small subunit ribosomal RNA
Source: RNAcentral
AUGUUUAACCUUGCUGUGGAGUGCCUGACCAAGAUGAUUAAAAACGCCCAGAAAAACAAGCUGAUCACGGGACUAGCUUCCGACCUGAUUCAGGAUGGGGUCGCGGUGUUACAGUAUGCAGAUGAUAUUAUUUUCUGCUUGGAACAUGACAUAGAAAAAGUGGUCAACCUGAAGUUGCUGCUUUAUAUUUUUGAAAUGAUGUCCGGUCUCAAGGUGAAUUUCAAAAAGAGUGAAAUCCUCACGAUGGGUGGAGAUGACAAUGUUGUUAGAGAAUACGCUAAAUUAUUUAACUGUGAUAUAGGGAGUUUUCCUAUUAAGUACUUAGGGAUGCCUGUGAGCUACACCAAUCUACGCAAUUUUGAUUGGGAAUUCAUUGUGAUUAAGUAUCUUAAAAGAUUCAAAGCCUGGAUCGGUAAUGUCGCAUCCAUGGGAGGCAGGCUUACAUUACUUGACUUGGUACUUACUCAAAUGUCCAUUUUUCACAUGUCUAUGUGGCUCGUGAAUAAAACAUUCAUUGAAAAGCUGGAUAAACAUAGACGUAGAUUUUUCUGGCAAGGUUGUAAUAAGAAAAUAAGAUAUCAUCUUGUCAAGUGGGACAGGAUUUGUAGGUCCAGAGACAAGGGAGGCCUGGGGGUUAAAGACCUUAGAAAGCAAAAUAUUAGUCUAAUGGUCAAAUGGUGGUGGAAAUCGGAGACCCAAAGCGGAUUAUGGCAGGAUAUUGUGCGUGCUAGAUACCUUAGAAACAAAACUGUUGCUGAGGUUUGUGCCAGAUUUUCCGAUUCACCAUGCUGGAAAGCUCUAUUAAAAGUGGAAGAGGUCUAUAUGGUGGGGAGGAAAGUUAACAUCGAAUCUGGAAAUAUCGCCCGGGUGUGGAUGGAUCCCAUCAAUACGCUACUUCCUUUCCAGGAACAAUUCCCAUAA